Molecule: transfer RNA, 72 nt
Filed under: Camelus bactrianus (Bactrian camel)
Lineage: Eukaryota; Metazoa; Chordata; Mammalia; Artiodactyla; Camelidae
Also listed under: 2 other names
Rfam family: tRNA
About the family: Transfer RNA (tRNA) molecules are approximately 80 nucleotides in length. Their secondary structure includes four short double-helical elements and three loops (D, anti-codon, and T loops).
Source: Rfam by way of RNAcentral
GUGGGUGUAGCUCAGUGGUAGAGCACAUGCUUAGCAUGCAGGAAGUCCUGGGUUCAAUCCCCAGUACCUCCA